Ctenocephalides felis (cat flea) is the source of this 547-nucleotide long non-coding RNA. RefSeq lists it as uncharacterized. The record is from RefSeq and is a predicted model, not a curated record. The transcript has 3 exons. NCBI's taxonomy places the organism in Eukaryota, Metazoa, Arthropoda, Insecta, Siphonaptera, Pulicidae.
GGUGUGCAAAACAUCUUAUUCUUUAUUGUGUUCGUAUUCGUAUCAAAACUGCAAAUAUUUCAAUAAAUACAUCAAGAUAUGAUAAAUACCGAUUAAAAUGUUUUAAUGAAGGAUUUUUGGAGAUAUUUGGAUUACUCUACUCAUUCAGGACAAUAUAAUCUUUUUGUGGAGAUGACGAAGGGCACACUUUUAAAUGCAAAUAAAAUGGAUACUAAGUUUACUCAAAGAUGACUGCCUUUAUAUACUAGAUAAUAUUCUAAUACUUAAAAAUACUUUCCACAAAUUUAUUAUGAUUUUAUCAAUCAAUUAGGAGAAAUAUCAUAAGAGUUUUUAAUGGAGGAAUUCUGAAGAUUACUAUAUUCCUAUUUGGGUUACUCUAUUUACAUGUUAUAAAGAUGACCAAGAAUACACAAUGCAAACGCAAAAUAAAAGAGGUUACUAAGUUCACUUACAGAUGAUUGUUUAGAUACUCUAAAUUAUAUUCUAAUACUUCAAGAUAAUUUACUCAAGUUUAUUAUGAAUUUGAUGAUAAAUCAGGAGAAAUAUC